Molecule: ribosomal RNA, 253 nt
Filed under: uncultured bacterium
Lineage: Bacteria
Description: partial 16S ribosomal RNA
Rfam family: Bacterial small subunit ribosomal RNA
Source: RNAcentral
UACGAGGGGGGCGAGCGUUGUUCGGAAUUAUUGGGCGUAAAGGGUGCGUAGGCGGUUUGGUAAGUCUGAUGUGAAAUCUAUGGGCUCAACUCAUAGUCUGCAUCGGAAACUGCCGGUCUUGAGUGUGGGAGAGGUGAGUGGAAUUCCUGGUGUAGCGGUGAAAUGCGUAGAUAUCAGGAGGAACACCUGUGGCGAAAGCGGCUCACUGGACCAUAACUGACGCUGAUGCACGAAAGCUAGGGGAGCAAACAGG